CAGAUUUAUGUAGGAGAGACAUUGAACGAAAUUUCGAAGCAACAUCCUCCGUUGCUGAUAAAGGUUUGGUCCAUCACCAUCACCGAAUUUUUGCUUAGAAUGUUGCCCGUUUGCCCAGCUAUUGUUUUUACGGGUCUAAGCAACGAAAUGUACAUUCACUUAUGUAAUAAAAACGCAACAUCAAAUCUAAAGGAGGGGGUUCCAGCUACCUAAGGCGGAAAUGGCGGAAGGAGUUGGUUAAUAUGGGGUGGAGGGCUGUAUGCUCUAAA
This is a long non-coding RNA of Eurytemora carolleeae, 269 nucleotides long. RefSeq lists it as uncharacterized. The transcript is spliced from 3 exons. The record is from RefSeq and is a predicted model, not a curated record. Lineage: Eukaryota; Metazoa; Arthropoda; Copepoda; Calanoida; Temoridae.